RNAcentral lists this ribosomal RNA (254 nucleotides) under uncultured bacterium. RNAcentral describes it as "partial 16S ribosomal RNA". It matches the Rfam family "Bacterial small subunit ribosomal RNA", at positions 524 to 776 of the family's 1533-position model. The record is from RNAcentral.
UACGGAGGGGGCUAGCGUUGUUCGGAAUUACUGGGCGUAAAGGGCGCGUAGGCGGCGCGAUAAGUUGGGCGUGAAAGGCCCGGGCUCAACCCGGGGACUGCGCUUGAUACUGUCGCGCUGUGAGUCCGGGAGAGGAUGGCGGAAUUCCAGGUGUAGCGGUGAAAUGCGUAGAUAUCUGGAGGAACACCGGUGGCGAAGGCGGCAUCCUGGACCAACACUGACACUGAGGAGCGAAAGCCAGGGGAGCAAACGGG